AUUGAACGCUGGCGGAAUGCUUUACACAUGCAAGUCGAGCGGCAGCGCGGGGGCAACCUUGGCGGCGAGCGGCGAACGGGUGAGUAACAUAUCGGAACGUACCCCGUCGUGGGGGAUAACACAGCGCAAGCUGUGCUAAUACCGCAUACGACCUGAGGGUGAAAGCGGGGGACCGUAAGGCCUCGCGCGACGGGAGCGGCCGAUAUCGGAUUAGCUUGUUGGUGAGGUAAAGGCUCACCAAGGCGACGAUCCGUAGCUGGUCUGAGAGGACGACCAGCCACACUGGAACUGAGACACGGUUCAGACUCCUACGGGAGGCAGCAGUGGGGAAUUUUGGACAAUGGGGGCAACCCUGAUCCAGCCAUUCCGCGUGAGCGAAGAAGGCCUUCGGGUUGUAAAGCUCUUUCGGCAGGAACGAAACGGUGGCCACUAAUACUGGCUACUAAUGACGGUACCUGAAGAAGAAGCACCGGCUAACUACGUGCCAGCCGCCGCAGUAA
Molecule: ribosomal RNA, 500 nt
Filed under: uncultured bacterium
Lineage: Bacteria
Description: partial 16S ribosomal RNA
Rfam family: Bacterial small subunit ribosomal RNA
Source: RNAcentral